RNAcentral lists this unclassified non-coding RNA (237 nucleotides) under plant metagenome. Its description in RNAcentral is "partial contains small subunit ribosomal RNA, internal transcribed spacer 1, and 5.8S ribosomal RNA". The record is from RNAcentral.
UCUCCGUUGGUGAACCAGCGGAGGGAUCAUUACCGAGUUUACAACUCCCACACCCCAUGUGAACCUUACCAAACGUUGCUUCGGCGGGAUGCCCCGGGCUCGGGCCGCAAGGCCUCAGACCCGUAACCAGGCGCCCGCCGGAGGCCCAAACCAAACUCUUGUUUUUGUCGAAUCUUCUGAGUGGCCUUUUAGGCAAAAAAUGAAUCAAAACUUUCAACAACGGAUCUCUUGGUUCUG